CAUAGGUUUGGUCCCAGCCUUCCUGUUAACUCUCAACAGACUUACACAUGCAAGCAUCCACGCCCCGGUGAGUAACGCCCUCCAAAUCAAUAAGACUAAGAGGAGCAGGUAUCAAGCACACAUCUUGUAGCUUACAACGCCUCGCUUAACCACACCCCUACGGGAGACAGCAGUGACAAAAAUUAAGCCAUAAACGAAAGUUUGACUAAGCCAUGUUGACCAGGGUUGGUAAAUCUCGUGCCAGCCACCGCGGUCAUACGAUUAACCCAAGCUAACAGGAAUACGGCGUAAAACGUGUUAAAGCACUACAUCAAAUAGGGUUAAAUUCUAAUUAAACUGUAAAAAGCCAUAAUUACAACAAAAAUAGAUGACGAAAGUAACCCUACUGCAGCUGAUACACUAUAGCUAAGACCCAAACUGGGAUUAGAUACCCCACUAUGCUUAGCCCUAAACACAAAUAAUUACAGAAACAAAAUUAUUCGCCAGAGUACUACCGGCAACAGCCCGAAACUCAAAGGACUUGGCGGUGCUUUAUACCCUUCUAGAGGAGCCUGUUCUAUAAUCGAUAA
RNAcentral lists this ribosomal RNA (569 nucleotides) under Capra hircus (goat). RNAcentral's name for it is "12S ribosomal RNA". It matches the Rfam family "Bacterial small subunit ribosomal RNA", at positions 9 to 957 of the family's 1533-position model. The record is from RNAcentral. Lineage: Eukaryota; Metazoa; Chordata; Mammalia; Artiodactyla; Bovidae.